This 674-nucleotide ribosomal RNA is filed under the name uncultured bacterium. Its description in RNAcentral is "bacterial SSU rRNA". It matches the Rfam family "Bacterial small subunit ribosomal RNA", at positions 8 to 680 of the family's 1533-position model. The record is from RNAcentral.
AGAGUUUGAUCCUGGCUCAGAUUGAACGCUGGCGGCAUGCCUUACACAUGCAAGUCGAACGGUAACAGGUCUUCGGAUGCUGACGAGUGGCGAACGGGUGAGUAAUACAUCGGAACGUGCCCGAUCGUGGGGGAUAACGCAGCGAAAGCUGUGCUAAUACCGCAUACGAUCUACGGAUGAAAGCGGGGGAUCGCAAGACCUCGCGCGGACGGAGCGGCCGAUGGCAGAUUAGGUAGUUGGUGGGAUAAAAGCUUACCAAGCCGACGAUCUGUAGCUGGUCUGAGAGGACGACCAGCCACACUGGGACUGAGACACGGCCCAGACUCCUACGGGAGGCAGCAGUGGGGAAUUUUGGACAAUGGGCGAAAGCCUGAUCCAGCCAUGCCGCGUGCAGGAUGAAGGCCUUCGGGUUGUAAACUGCUUUUGUACGGAACGAAAAAGUCUUCUCUAAUACAGGGGGCGAAUGACGGUACCGUAAGAAUAAGCACCGGCUAACUACGUGCCAGCAGCCGCGGUAAUACGUAGGGUGCGAGCGUUAAUCGGAAUUACUGGGCGUAAAGCGUGCGCAGCGGGUAUAUAAGACAGAUGUGAAAUCCCGGGCUCAACCUGGGAACUGCAUUAAUGACUGUAUAGCUAGAGUGCGGCANAAGGGGGAUGGAAUUUCCCGUGUAGCA